RNAcentral lists this ribosomal RNA (253 nucleotides) under uncultured bacterium. Its description in RNAcentral is "partial 16S ribosomal RNA". It matches the Rfam family "Bacterial small subunit ribosomal RNA", at positions 524 to 776 of the family's 1533-position model. The record is from RNAcentral.
UACGGGGGGGGCAAGCGUUGUUCGGAAUUACUGGGCGUAAAGGGCUCGUAGGCGGCCAACUAAGUCAGACGUGAAAUCCCUCGGCUUAACCGGGGAACUGCGUCUGAUACUGGAUGGCUUGAGAUUGGGAGAGGGAUGCGGAAUUCCAGGUGUAGCGGUGAAAUGCGUAGAUAUCUGGAGGAACACCGGUGGCGAAGGCGGCAUCCUGGACCGACACUGACACUGAGGAGCGAAAGCCAGGGGAGCAAACGGG